CUGGGUGGCUUGAAAACAUACGCAGUACUCCAUGCUACUGCCCAAAACACCAAAUUAGGUCUCAAGAAAGAAGUCCGAUGGCUACAUGGCACACCAGAAGUCAGAUAAUGGGACUCAUUUCAAAAACUCCCUUGUAAAUACUUGGGCCAAAGAUCAUGGCAUUGAGUGGAUUUAUCAUAUCCCCUGUCACGCACCAGCCUCUGGUAAAAUUGAACAAUACAAGGGGGUGUCAAAAACUGUUGAAAGCAAUGGGUGGCAGAACAUCUAAGCAUUGGGAGAAGUAUUUGGCAGAAGGUACCUGGUUGGUAAACACUAGAGGAUUGGUCAGUCAUGAUGGUCCUGCCAGCUCCCUACAUACUGUCAAGGGAGAUAAGGUCCUUGUAGUACAUGUAAAGAACAUGGGGAAAAACAUUUUGGGUCUUUCCAGCUUCUGGGAAGGGAAAACCUCUUCGUGGAACUGUUUUUGCCCAGAGACCUGGGUCCACUUGGUGAGUGAUGCAGAAAGAUGGGGAUGUUCGUUGUGUACCACAAGGGAAUCUGAUGUUGGGGGAGUGCAGCCAGUCAUUCCGUGUGUGUGUGUGUGUGUAUGUAUGUAUGUAUGUCUGUGCAUGAGUUUAAUGCUUGUUAAUUAUUGUUUUUUGUUUGUAUAUAUUAAGCAUGAUGUAGUGAUGUAGAAUAAGGGGUGGAAUGUUACGGUUUUAUGAUUUUUGGUUGUCAGUAUUCCAUAUCAUAACAUGAUGUAGUGUACUGGGAGUUAAAGAGUUAAUGCUCCAGUUCCAGGUACGUGUCCCAGAAGAGAAGAAGAACUACAUACCCCAGAGGACUUUGCAUUCAGAGAGGCGGUAUAACCCCUGCCUGUGUGCCCCAGCUUUCCUCUGAGGACCACUGUGGUGCCUGGCCCACAACAAGUGCUGCAUGAGAGCUGCAGCGUGAGAGCUGCUCUGGCCAGAUGCAGCCAUGUCAUCACCAGCUUUCAUCAGCCCCAGCUCUGCUGUCACCAUGGUUCUGGAAGUGCUCAGGUCACCUCGCUCCCGGUUGUUCUGACACAAAAGCAACAAGACACCGAAGGCUGCCUUGACAAAAAGAAGCUGAAAUCCUACAAAAGGGCAAAUAGCGCAAAAGGGGGGCCCCUCCGCUGCUGUCAACCUGUGUUAUGGCUCGACAGAUCCUGCCUUGUGAUUCUGCCCAGUGAGGAUGCCCCGUGGCAUAAGCUCACCAUAUGACUGCACGCUGUGCACAUUGAGGUACCAGCUCUGAAGCACAAGGACGCUGCUGCUUUAUUGGAGAUCAAUUAUUGUCUUGAUAAGAAACAACAUACCAAUCAUCCAAAAUGGAAAUGUGGUAAAUCUUGCAUAAAUCUAUUCCUCCCGAAAUGAGCAUAGAUGAAAAAAAUAUAUGUACAUAUAAAUAUGUAAGUCAAUAAGAGCUGAUAUGAUGCAUUUACCUAAAGUUAAUUUUGACUGUGGAACAUACCUUCGUAUUUUUCUGACUGCAUACUUGUGAUUACAGUAUAUACACACAGAUUAAAGAUUUCUGCAAAAUCUAAGAAGAGGAUCCACACCAGGGUGCUGAUCUUUCAGCCUACACUCCAAUACAGGCCUGGACCCAUGAUCAACUCACUCUACUCACCCUUCGCCCAUUUGCACUUCAG
This 1651-nucleotide long non-coding RNA is filed under the name Gallus gallus (chicken). RNAcentral describes it as "lncRNA (ENSGALG00010020044.1)". Lineage: Eukaryota; Metazoa; Chordata; Aves; Galliformes; Phasianidae. The record is from RNAcentral.